CGGCGCGGCAGGGAGCGAGCCUGGGGCGGUGGUGUGUCUGCUUGUGUGUGUCCGUGUGUGUGGAGCGGCGUGGGCCGAGGUGUGAGUGUCCGUGUGUCCGUGGAGCGCGUGGGCCGAGGUGUGAGCGUCCGUGUGAGUGCGCCCGCCCCUGCGCCCUCCCGCCGCCUGCACUUUGAUCUUAUUUGAUCGGGCCGAGACCCCCGCCGCGCCGGGCCGGCCUGAGAUGAAAAGCUUCCCUCCCGCGAAGCCCUGCGUCUGUGCCGGGCGCUGUGCAGCGAGGCCCCCGGGCGGCGGCCGCGCCGCGGUCCCCGAGGCCCCCGGGCCUGUCCGACGGGGCCCGGCGCUCAGAAGUGAUGAAUUGAUCAGAUAGACGAGGCUCCGGGCUUGGCCCGGGCCGAUGAUUACCGAGGCGAUUCUGAUCUGA
Ochotona curzoniae (black-lipped pika) is the source of this 424-nucleotide non-coding RNA. RefSeq annotates it as small Cajal body-specific RNA 2. The record is from RefSeq and is a predicted model, not a curated record. The transcript has a single exon. NCBI's taxonomy places the organism in Eukaryota, Metazoa, Chordata, Mammalia, Lagomorpha, Ochotonidae.